GAUGAACGCUGGCGGCGUGCCUAAUACAUGCCAGUCGAGCGAACGGACGAGAAGCUUGCGUCUCUGAUGUUAGCGGCGGACGGGUGAGUAACACGUGGAUAACCUACCUAUAAGACUGGGAUAACUUCGGGAAACCGGAGCUAAUACCGGAUAAUAUUUUGAACCGCAUGGUUCAAAAGUGAAAGACGGUCUUGCUGUCACUUAUAGAUGGAUCCGCGCUGCAUUAGCUAGUUGGUAAGGUAACGGCUUACCAAGGCGACGAUGCAUAGCCGACCUGAGAGGGUGAUCAGCCACACUGGGACUGUGACACGGUCCACACUCCUACGGGAGGUAGCAGUAGGGUAUCUUCCGCAAUGGGCGAAAGACUGACGGAGCAACGCCGCGUGAGUGAUGAUGGUCUUCGGAUCGUAAAACUCUGUUAUUAGGGAAGAACAUAUGUUUAAGUAACUGUGCACAUCUUGACGGUACCUAAUCAGAAAGCCACGGCUAACUACGUG
Molecule: ribosomal RNA, 497 nt
Filed under: uncultured bacterium
Lineage: Bacteria
Description: partial 16S ribosomal RNA
Rfam family: Bacterial small subunit ribosomal RNA
Source: RNAcentral